RNAcentral lists this long non-coding RNA (1018 nucleotides) under Phasianus colchicus (ring-necked pheasant). RNAcentral describes it as "lncRNA (ENSPCLG00000017550.1)". The record is from RNAcentral. Lineage: Eukaryota; Metazoa; Chordata; Aves; Galliformes; Phasianidae.
GGAUGGGACUGGGAGGGACUGGGUUAUACUGGGAGGGACUGGGAGGGACUGGGAUGAGAUUGGGAUCGACUGGGAUGGGACUGGGUUAUACUGGGUUAUACUGGGACGGAACUGGGAGGGACUGGGAUGGGACUGAGAAGGACUGGGAGGGACUGGGUUAUACUGGGAGGGACUGGGAGGGACUGGGAGAGACUGGGAUGGAAGUGGGUUAUACUGGGAUGGGACUGGGUUAUACUGGGUUAUACUGGGAGGGACUGGGAUGGGAUUGAGAGGAACUGGGUUAUACUGGGAGAGACUGGGAGGGACUGGGUUAUACUGGGAUGGGACUGGGAUGGAAGUGGGUUAUACUGGGAUGGGACUGGGCUAUACUGGGAUGGACUGGGAGGGACUGGGAUGGGACUGAGAUGGGACUGGGUUAUACUGGGAAGGACUGGGAUGGACUGGGAUGGGACUGGGAGGGACUGGGUUAUACUGGGAGGGACUGGGAGGGACUGGGAUGGACUGGGAUGGACUGGGAUGGGAGUGGGUUAUACUGGGUUAUACUGGGAUGGGACUGGGAUGGACUGGAAGGGACUGGGAUGGGACUGGGAUGGGACUGGUUUAUACUGGGAUGGACUGGAAGGGACUGGGCUGGGACUGGGUUAUACUGGGAUGGACUGGGAUGGGACUGGGAGGGACUGGGAGGGACUGGUUUAUACUGGGAGGGACUGGGAGGGGCUAUACUGGUCCAUGCUGAUUGAUACUGGUCCAUACUGGUUGAUACUGGUCGAUACUGGUCUAUACUGGUCGAAACAGUGUUCUAUACUGGUCCAUGCUGGUCUAUAUUGGUUGAUACUGGUCUAUACUGGUCUAUACUGGUCAAUACUGGUCUAUACUGGUCCAUAGUGGUCUAUACUGGUCCAUACUGGUCCAUACUGGUCGAUACUGGUCUAUACUGGUUGAUACCGGUCUAUACUGGUCCAUACUGGUCGAAACAGCGGUCAAUACUGGUCCAUGCAGGUCUAUACUGGUUGAUACU